GUGAAUGCUUUCUUUUUUGCCAUUUUUUCAUCUGUGAGUUGUUAAUGAACCCACCUCAUUCGUUGACUUUAUGUGAUCUAAUCUUUCUAUCAAGCAUGCCUUUCAUUAUAUUAUAAAGUAGGGGCCCAUGAAUCUAUUCUCUGUUUUUUUUUAUUCAGUGCUUAGCCUUUGAAUCUAAUUGAAUCUAAAAAGAAUACAGAAUAUAGAAAAUAAGAAUCCACUUUGAAUUCGAAUGAAAUAUAUAUAUUAUUGUUAUAUUGAUAUUGUUUUUGUUUCCAUAUAUCUCAAUUGAUCAAAUUCGAAGCAAUUGCCCUCUUUUGAUAACUGCCCGAAAGAACCGCUUCAAAUAAUAAAGAUUGUUCUAUUCAGAUUUUGAGACGAAUGAGCGCCCUGUCUAUAUCAAGAUCGCAAUCAAAUAUGUCGAAAAUUUUCGCGGGUUAUCUAAACUAUAUAUAGUCUAGAGUCCAGCAAUAAUUGAAAAAAAAAUUAGGAAAAAUAUUAUGCUGAUAAAAAAUGAGUGACAAAAAAAGACAGAAAAGUUAUCAUUACGUUUAUCAUUAUGUUAUAAGAAAGAAAUCCACUUGUUUAGUUCUUUAGUUCUUAAGGAGCACAAAAGAAAGGAUAAAAGGGGAGGGGCCGAUUGAGAAAAGAAAAGUAGAGAAAAUUUACAAGAUAUGAUCUAUCUGUAUUUAACAUAUCAACUCCAAAUAUUGCAAAUAAAAAGAGAAAGUCUUUAUUUCGAUUUGAUAUAUGAGAUGAAUCCAGUAUUUCGAUUUCUUGCUUAUUUUGUUACUGAAUUAAGUUGAGCGGUUUUACAUUUACAGACGCAUAAAAAACUAUUUUUGUGGACAAAAAAAACUGU
RNAcentral lists this long non-coding RNA (862 nucleotides) under Gossypium barbadense (sea-island cotton). RNAcentral's name for it is "long non-coding RNA (GBAR_LNC003619)". The record is from RNAcentral. Lineage: Eukaryota; Viridiplantae; Streptophyta; Magnoliopsida; Malvales; Malvaceae.